CAAAAUUAUAUUCCGCCGACCCUAAUUUUGUAAAAAGCCCGAAAAGGAGAGUGACAGUCCUCUCCAUGCCAGUGGUCUUACCAACGGCACAGGAGACAGAAACGUGGAACAACGGAAACAGCUAACUGCUGUGCUGUGCUCCCCUUGGUUCCUCCAAUUCUGAGGCCAACCACCUCCAAAGCAAGCUUUGGUGAUUCAAAAAAAAAAAAAAGCAAGCUUUGGAAAUUUCUCUUCUCUGCCAAAGUCUGACAAGAUUGCUUCCGCUUCCUCUCAUCAGUAUCACUAUGCUUCUCCAUUUACCUUCCUAUACACCCUUCUCUUUGAAAUUUAAUAUGCAGGCAUACACAAGUGGAAGAAAUUUUCUGGGGAUUUUCAUUAGGGAUUUUGUUCAAUCGCCGAGCAGAGGAAGAUGGAUAAUUCCUUUUCGACCUUAUGUAAAGUUUGUACGAACGAAAUGCCGUAUCUCAGUUCCUGGGAAUGAAAAAAAUGAGCCUUCAAGCUGCUUGAGGGACAAGAAGAUGGUUCCUUAUUCAGACCCUCCCACCAAUACGGAUGUGAAUCUUUUGUAUCAAUUUUUUGAUCGUAGCACUAACCUUGUGGUAUUGACUGGAGCUGGAAUUAGUACAGAGUGUGGAAUUCCUGAUUACAGAAGCCCAAAUGGAGCUUACAGUUCUGGUUUCAAACCAAUUACUCAUCAGGAAUUUCUUCGUUCAAGUCGGGCCCGCAGGCGGUAUUGGGCUAGGAGCUAUGCUGGAUGGAGACGGUUUACUGCUGCACAGCCUGGUGCAGCUCAUUUUGCUUUAGCAUCACUAGAAAAAGCUGGCCGGAUCAAUUUUAUGGUCACUCAAAAUGUUGAUAGACUACAUCAUCGUGCUGGGAGUAAUCCACUUGAAUUACAUGGAACUGUCUAUUCUGUCAUUUGUCUAGACUGUGGUUCUUCCUUUAGUCGGAGCUUAUUUCAGGACCAGCUGAAGGCCCUUAAUCCAAAGUGGGCUGCAGCAAUUGAAAGCUUGGGUUAUGGAAGUCCUGGAUCAGACAAAAGCUUUGGCAUGAAGCAGAGGCCAGAUGGCGAUAUAGAGAUUGAUGAGAAAUUCUGGGCGGAAGAUUUCCACAUACCUACCUGCCAAAAGUGCAAUGGAAUGCUAAAACCUGAUGUUGUUUUCUUUGGUGAUAAUGUUCCAAAGGAUAGAGCAGACAAGGCAAUGGAGGCUGCAAAAGGAUGUGAUGCAUUCCUUGUUCUGGGAUCAUCUCUAAUGACCAUGUCUGCAUUUCGACUUGUUAGUUAAAGGUGAUGAAGCUUUUGAAAUUGAAUGUCACAGGGCUGCUCAAGAGGCAGGUGCUGCUACGGCAAUUGUAAAUGUAGGAGUGAGUAGAGCUGACAAUUUAGUGCCGUUGAGAAUUAAUGCCCGGUUGGGGGAGAUACUGCCUAGAGUGAUUGAUAUCGGAUCCCUCAGCAUCCCUGCCCUCUAGAUAUGAUAUUAGAAACCAGAUGAGGAUUUCAAAUGAAGGAUGCAACUGUAGCCAUUACACAGUAAUUGCGUUUCUUUCAUGUUAUAUUUAUGAAAGCUGAAAAGCGUACUAAAGCGAUUGACCAUUUUUAAAUGUAUGAUCUGAUUUUUUUUCCCUCAAUUUGUUGCCUGUUUAGACUUGAUUAACCAAUUAUAGACAGACAUACGGGCUCUGUUAAGAAUUAUAUUUAAACUAGUCGUUGUUCAGAUAUCAAAAUAUUUUAUAUUAUUAUUUUAUAAAAUAAUAUGUUUUUUUAGCA
RNA transcript from Manihot esculenta (cassava), 1768 nucleotides. It is a transcript of the gene named NAD-dependent protein deacylase SRT2, with no coding region annotated. The transcript has 12 exons. The record is from RefSeq and is a predicted model, not a curated record. Lineage: Eukaryota; Viridiplantae; Streptophyta; Magnoliopsida; Malpighiales; Euphorbiaceae.